This is a long non-coding RNA of Cucumis sativus (cucumber), 849 nucleotides long. RefSeq lists it as uncharacterized. The transcript is spliced from 4 exons. The record is from RefSeq and is a predicted model, not a curated record. Lineage: Eukaryota; Viridiplantae; Streptophyta; Magnoliopsida; Cucurbitales; Cucurbitaceae.
UCAUUUAUUUAGCUCAUUAGGACUUGCUCCAUUAUUGCGGCAUGGUAGAAAUAGGCUAUAUGUGCAUCCUAGCAUACAUUACAUAUCUUUGGGAUGAAUGUGAUUGUGGAAGCAAGUUUUUUGUUAUGACCAAGCAAAAAUAACAUCACAUAUCAAGGAUCGUGAUCUUCGAUCCAGAAAUUUUGCCAACCAGUUAGAAGCGGCUACCUUGGAACAAAUAGUUCUAAUUCCGUAUAAUACUGGUUUUCAUUGGAUGUUGCAUGUCAUCGAUCUUCGAGAGAACUGUGUUUAUGUUUUGGACUCUCUUCAAAGUAAAGUUAACGAAGACAUCCAUGGAGUCAUAAAUGUGACUUAUGAUUUACUUCUUAUUUGACUUCAUUGUCUUCUAAUUCUAAUGUUUCCAAAUGUAUAGAGGAUUAAAAACAUGGCAAGCUAAGCAUGAUUUACAACAUUAUCGGUCAAAUCCGAAAUGGAAACCUAUAAAGUUUAAUACAAAAAAGUGCAUAUACGCAAGAGGAGAUUGACGAGAUUUGAACAAAAUAUGCAAGCUUUGUUAGCCGAUUUGUGUAAGCUUUUACACUUUUUUUUGUAGUUUAUAAGUUACUAGUACUAAUACUAAUUGUUUUAAUAUAUAAGCUACGAGAUUCUAGUACUACUUGUUGUACAUACUUUAAUUUUCAGGUUUUCUGCUUGUAGUAGUUUAUGAAUAGGUGUUGUAUUGUAGUGUUUUAGGUGUUGACUUUAGAGUGUAUUUGUUGUAGUACUAUGUGGAAAGUGUGUAUUAGUGGAGGAAUUUGUUGUACACAUACUUUAAUACUUUACAUAUUAUUUACUUGAUUGAUAUGUGUA